Molecule: small nuclear RNA, 164 nt
Organism: Otolemur garnettii (small-eared galago)
Lineage: Eukaryota; Metazoa; Chordata; Mammalia; Primates; Galagidae
Gene: U1
Rfam family: U1 spliceosomal RNA
About the family: U1 is a small nuclear RNA (snRNA) component of the spliceosome (involved in pre-mRNA splicing).
Source: Ensembl
AUACUUACCUGGCAGGGGAGAUACCAUGAUCAUGAAGGUGGUUUUCCCAGGGCGAGGCUCACCCAUUGCACUCCGGCUGUGCUGACCCCUGCGAUUUCCCCAAAUGUGGGAAACUCGACUGCAUAAUUUGUGGUAGUGGGGGACUGCGUUCGCGCUUUCCCCUG